CUGAUUUAAUGAGCCUGAUCCAG
Molecule: non-coding RNA, 23 nt
Filed under: Cricetulus griseus (Chinese hamster)
Lineage: Eukaryota; Metazoa; Chordata; Mammalia; Rodentia; Cricetidae
Source: RNAcentral